This 1646-nucleotide small RNA is filed under the name Pan troglodytes (chimpanzee). RNAcentral's name for it is "retained intron". The record is from RNAcentral. Lineage: Eukaryota; Metazoa; Chordata; Mammalia; Primates; Hominidae.
CUGAUGCUGGACAAGAACAAUCUGGUCAAGUACGACAAGAAGACGGGCAACUUCCAGGUGACAGAACUGGGCCGUAUAGCCAGCCACUACUACAUCACCAAUGAUACAGUGCAGACUUACAACCAGCUGCUGAAGCCCACCCUGAGUGAGAUUGAGCUUUUCAGGGUCUUCUCAUUGUCCUCUGAGUUCAAGAACAUCACAGUGAGAGAGGAGGAGAAGCUGGAGCUGCAGAAGUUGCUGGAGAGGGUGCCUAUCCCUGUAAAGGAGAGCAUUGAGGAACCCAGUGCUAAGAUCAACGUUCUUCUGCAAGCCUUCAUCUCACAGCUGAAAUUGGAGGGCUUUGCACUGAUGGCUGACAUGGUGUAUGUCACACAGUCGGCUGGCCGGUUGAUGCGAGCGAUAUUUGAAAUUGUCCUGAACCGAGGUUGGGCACAGCUUACAGACAAGACCCUGAACCUCUGCAAGAUGAUCGACAAACGCAUGUGGCAGUCCAUGUGUCCUCUGCGCCAGUUCCGGAAACUCCCUGAGGAAGUAGUGAAGAAGAUUGAGAAGAAGAAUUUCCCCUUUGAGCGUCUGUACGACCUGAAUCAUAAUGAGAUCGGGGAGCUUAUCCGCAUGCCAAAGAUGGGGAAGACCAUCCACAAAUAUGUCCAUCUGUUUCCCAAGUUGGAGUUGUCAGUGCACCUGCAGCCUAUCACACGCUCCACCCUGAAGGUGGAGCUGACCAUCACGCCAGACUUCCAGUGGGAUGAAAAGGUGCAUGGUUCAUCCGAGGCUUUUUGGAUUCUGGUGGAGGACGUGGACAGCGAGGUGAUUCUGCACCAUGAGUAUUUUCUCCUCAAGGCCAAGUACGCCCAGGACGAGCACCUCAUUACAUUCUUCGUGCCUGUCUUUGAACCGCUGCCCCCUCAGUACUUCAUCCGAGUGGUGUCUGACCGCUGGCUCUCUUGUGAGACCCAGCUGCCUGUCUCCUUCCGGCACCUGAUCUUGCCGGAGAAGUACCCACCUCCAACCGAACUUUUGGACCUGCAGCCCUUGCCCGUGUCUGCUCUGAGAAACAGUGCCUUUGAGAGUCUUUACCAAGAUAAAUUUCCUUUCUUCAAUCCCAUCCAGACCCAGGUGUUUAACACUGUAUACAACAGUGACGACAACGUGUUUGUGGGGGCCCCCACGGGCAGCGGGAAGACUAUUUGUGCAGAGUUUGCCAUCCUGCGGAUGCUGCUGCAGAGCUCGGAGGGGCGCUGUGUGUACAUCACCCCCAUGGAGGCCCUGGCAGAGCAGGUAUGACGUGGCGCUGUGUCAUGUGAAUUUCCCAAGAAGCAUUUCAUCUGUGAUUCCGUAUAAAGGCUUUCUAAGCCCUGAAAUUUGCAGGGUCAUUUCCUCAGUUUGUGUAUUAAAGAAAAGCUGCCCCAGCCAAGUGUGGUGGCUCACGCCUGUAAUCCCAGCACUUUGGGAGGCCGAGGCGGGCAGAUCUCCUGAGAUCAGGAGUUCGAGACCAGCCUGGCCAACAUGGUGAAACCCUGUCUCUACUAAAAAUACAGAAAUUAGCUGGGCGUGGUGGUGUGCGCCUGUAAUCCCAGCUACUUGGAAGGCUGAGGCAGGAGAAUCGCUUGAACCUGGGAGGCGGAGGUUGCAGUGAGCCAAGU